RNAcentral lists this ribosomal RNA (229 nucleotides) under uncultured bacterium. RNAcentral's name for it is "partial 16S ribosomal RNA". It matches the Rfam family "Bacterial small subunit ribosomal RNA", at positions 15 to 235 of the family's 1533-position model. The record is from RNAcentral.
GAUCAUGGCUCAGGAUGAACGCUAGCUACAGGCUUAACACAUGCAAGUCGAGGGGCAGCAUGGUCUUAGCUUGCUAAGGCCGAUGGCGAUCGGCGCACGGGUGAGUAACGCGUAUCCAACCUGCCUUACACUCUUGGACAGCCUUCUGAAAGGGAGAUUAAUACAAGAUGUUACCAUGAGUAAGCAUUUUCGCAUGAUUAAAGGUUUACCGGUGUAAGAUGGGGAUGCG